CCUUAUUAAGAGCGGGGGAGGGAAUGGGCCCUUUGAUCCCGCGGCAACCUCACAGCAAGUGAAGGUGCCAAUUCCCACGGGGCGAAGGCCAUGCUCCGGCAGAUGAGG
RNAcentral lists this non-coding RNA (108 nucleotides) under bovine gut metagenome. Its description in RNAcentral is "SAM riboswitch (S box leader)". It matches the Rfam family "SAM riboswitch aptamer (S box leader)". Rfam says of the family: The SAM riboswitch is found upstream of a number of genes which code for proteins involved in methionine or cysteine biosynthesis in Gram-positive bacteria. The record is from RNAcentral.